Molecule: long non-coding RNA, 323 nt
Filed under: Mytilus galloprovincialis (Mediterranean mussel)
Lineage: Eukaryota; Metazoa; Mollusca; Bivalvia; Mytilida; Mytilidae
Source: RNAcentral
UUUUAUAUUUUAUUAUACCCCCGCUUUAAAAAAGGGGGGGUAUACUGUUUUACCUUUGUCUGUCAGUCCGUCCAUCAGUCCGUCAGUCAGUCCGUCCCAUGAAACUUUCGUCACAUUUUUCUCAGGAACUACACAUCCACCCUUUCUGUAAUUUGGUAUCAACAUUUAUAUAUGUCAGCCAUACCGUGUGAUGCGUUUUCAGAUUCAUCACUCGACAACUUCCUGUUAACCGAACACUUGCAUAUUUUUACACUAUUAAUAUUAUCCACUUGCGGCGGGGGUAUCAUCAGUGAGCAGUAGCUCGCAGUUUCACUUGUUUAUAC